Antechinus flavipes (yellow-footed antechinus) is the source of this 828-nucleotide long non-coding RNA. RefSeq lists it as uncharacterized. The transcript is spliced from 2 exons. Lineage: Eukaryota; Metazoa; Chordata; Mammalia; Dasyuromorphia; Dasyuridae. The record is from RefSeq and is a predicted model, not a curated record.
UCUAAGGGAGGGCUAGAGCUGCCCUGUGGGCAGUACAUAGGAAGCUCAGGCUGGAUUCUGAAUGCCCAGGCCCUCCCCUUUUCCCAUACAGAGAGCUGGGGGAAGACUGUGGUUGGGUGGGUUGAAGGGAAACGAUGGCAGGCAGGCUUGGGAACCAGCAUGUGGGAAUAGAGUUGAAGGCCUCAGGAAGACAGGAGAGACGCAGGGGAUGCAGGCUGGCUGGCUAUAAAUACCUCCCAGGACUCAUCUCUACUCCUUCUCCUUGAAUUGAGUUGGGUCUGUUCUGGGGCCCAUCUCUUCACAGUAUCUCCUCCCGCAGGCUCCCAGGGGAAGAGAGAUGAAUCAGGCUUCCACAGGCUGACAUGAGGGGAAUGGCAGCUCCAGCCGCUCAUCCAUCCAGAGACAGGCACUCGCCAUCUGCGCAACCUUCUCGACGCAUGCAGUCCAGAUUCUGGGGCAACUGGAAGAGCCAACCCAAUCCAAGGCAUUUUGCCCUUUCUCAGAGGACAAACACAUCAGUUCAUGGUCAGGAGUAACAUAUAGGGAUUCUGUGGACCAGGGUUUGGAAGAACAUAAAUUCCCUCUCUGAUGAGAUGGAUGGGAUGGGAUGAGGUUUGGGGGGGGGGGGCAAAGAUUGUCCUGAGGCUGGCUAAAGGUGGCCAGAUCCUGGAAAUGCAAGGCUGGAGUCUUGGUCCUCAGCCCUUUCUGCUCACCCAGAGAGGGGCAGGGAGGAUGACUUCAGAAAGGAGGAUCCUACCCAGGGGACCGUCCUGUUGUAAAAAUCAGGAGUGUUGACUCCAAAUAAACCAAAAAAUGCUGCAGUGCAAA